UACAUGUAUGAUGGUUUGUGGGCAACUUGGGUCAAGUCAAGUUUCUAUAAAUAUCCAAGCGUAUUAUCUAGUUAGUCCUGCGUGCCAUUUUGCUGCAAUUUGUACCCGCAGGAUAAUGAGUGCUGGAGGCAAGCAAAAGUCCAAAAACAAAAUCUAGUCGCAUUAAAAUACCAUGUAGGCACCCUAAUGAUAAAUCCUUCUAGAGCAAACUUCGACCAGGGGAAGUGAUCGUUUAUAUAUGUGAUUUUGAGAAUUUUAUUGUGUAGAAAAUUUUCUGGUCUUCCUUUUUCAAAGGUUCAUGAAUUGCAGUGGC
This 313-nucleotide small RNA is filed under the name Histoplasma capsulatum var. duboisii H88. RNAcentral's name for it is "Histoplasma capsulatum H88 hypothetical RNA". The record is from RNAcentral. Lineage: Eukaryota; Fungi; Ascomycota; Eurotiomycetes; Onygenales; Ajellomycetaceae.